GCACCGCGGGCAACGUUCCCGAGAUACUGCCUUUCCCUUAGGACCAGGCAGAGCCACGACUCCUAAGAUGCACUUGGGCAAUGACGUAACGUGGCGUCGCCAGGGCCUAACUACGAGCGGUUCCAUGGUAACGGUGAGGAGAGUGGUUGGGAGCUGCAGUCAUUUUGCUGCUACCUCAGACUGCUGUAGUCCGAAGGGAAGAGAAAGAGAGGAUAUAUAUCCUUGUCUUUGUAUAUUCAUAUCUUGGCUCUGACAGGAUGCAUUAAAGUGACUGACACUGGGGAGGAAAAUUGGGAACAAAGAUUGGCUGUUAACUAAUGUUCCUGUUGGCGAAAGUCCUACAAGAAUCCUUCUGGGCUCAAAGGGCAAAAGGAUUGAAGGUGGUGGUUUACCUGCCCUGAGGCAAUCCAUGGAGCCUUGGAGCCAAGUUUGGUUUGCCCAGCCCUAGUAACUGCUAGGCUUUUGUAUAUGAUAAAGGCAAUUGGAAGAUUAAGAAAAACUUAUGAAGUAACUGGGUGAGGAGAAGGAAAAAAAAAUAUAUUUUAAAACGGAUACGUGUAAACUGGAGAAAGGUCGCCUGAAGUGGAAUCACCAUGGCUGAGUGGCAACGUCCAAAGAAAAUUGAGCUGUCCUGGUUUCAGUUGCACACAUAUGAAUGCAGGCGGCCGCCUUUCUGAUGUGUAGUUUCUUGCGAUGAAGAAAAACUGCUGAAGUCAUGAGGCUGCUCCAAGCAGAGCCCUCAUGUGAGUCAUAUGAAAGCUCCAGCAUUGCUGACCUCUGGCAAAAAGGGAGUGAACAAGGAAGGAGAGGCAGAGGGAGAGAGGUUCAAGUGCCGGGUUUUCUCCUUGAACCUAGAAGAUUAUGGGCCAAGAGCUGUGUGCAAAGACUCUGCAGCCUGGAUGCAGCUGCCAUUGCUGUUGGGAGGGAGGAGAUGCACACAGCCGUCAGAGGAGUGCUCCGGUGAUGAUGGAGGCUGCGAUCAAGCUAACAGACCUAAAAGAAGCAUCAUGUUCCAUGACUUCAUUUCACCCCAGGGGACUUCAGGCUGUCCGUGCCCGGAAGUUCAAGAGUAAAAGGCCACGGAGUAACAGCGAUUCUUUUCAGGAAGAGGAUCUGAGUCAGGGUUUUCAGUGGAGGAAGAGCCUCCCCUUUGGGGCAGCCUCAUCUUACUUGAACUUGGAGAAGCUGGGUGAAGGUUCUUACGCUACAGUUUACAAGGGGAUUAGCCGGAUAAAUGGACAACUAGUGGCUUUAAAAGUCAUCAGCAUGAAUGCAGAGGAAGGAGUCCCAUUUACAGCCAUCCGGGAAGCUUCUCUCCUGAAGGGUUUGAAACAUGCCAAUAUUGUGCUGCUCCAUGACAUUAUCCACACCAAAGAGACACUGACAUUCGUUUUUGAAUACAUGCACACAGACCUGGCUCAGUAUAUGUCUCAGCAUCCAGGAGGGCUUCAUCCUCACAAUGUCAGGCUUUUCAUGUUUCAACUUUUGCGGGGCCUGGCGUACAUCCACCACCAACACGUUCUCCACAGGGACCUGAAACCUCAGAACUUACUCAUCAGUCACCUGGGAGAACUCAAAGUGGCUGAUUUUGGUCUUGCUCGGGCCAAGUCCAUUCCCAGCCAGACAUACUCUUCAGAAGUUGUGACUCUCUGGUACCGCCCUCCUGAUGCCUUGCUGGGAGCCACUGAAUAUUCCUCUGAACUGGACAUAUGGGGUGCAGGCUGCAUCUUUAUUGAAAUGUUCCAGGGUCAACCCUUGUUUCCUGGGGUUUCCAACAUCCUUGAACAGCUGGAGAAGAUCUGGGAGGUGCUGGGAGUCCCUACAGAGGAUAACUGGCCUGGAGUUUCCAAGCUACCUAACUACAAUCCAGAAUGGUUCCCACUGCCUAAGCCUCAGAGCCUUCAGAAUGUCUGCAACCGGUUAGACAGGGCUCCGGAAGCUGAAGACCUGGCCUCCCAAAUGCUGAAAGGCUUUCCAAGAGACCGUGUCUCCGCCCAGGAAGCACUGGUUCACAAUUAUUUCAGGGCCCUGCCUGCUCAGCUGCACCAACUUCCUGAUGUGGAGUCUUUAUUUACAGUUUCAGGAGUGAGGCUAAAACCAGAAAUGUGUGACCUUUUGGCCUCCUACCGGAAAGGUCACCACCCAGCCGGGUUUAGCAAAUGCUGGUGAAAAGAAAGGGCGAGAUCACCAAGAUUUUCCAGGGAGUCCUCUCCAGGCUGAGCUCUGGGAACCAUGAGGACCUGAUAGGGAGGGAGGACCCAUCCACAAAUGUCACAGACUCAGCUGCUCUCAGCAGUCUCCUCUGUCAGCCCAGGGCAACCCAGCCUUCCAAGGUAAUCUUGAAGAGGAAGGGGCGCUGUAGAGGACUUCCCCAAAGCUACCAUAUCCUAAAGAGUUCUGCUGGACUACCUGUAUUGCUGUUUCCAUUUUAAUUUGCUUCCACUUACUAAGAAGCUUCAAAUCUAACUCCACACUGGACCAAGGGUUUUAUACCAUCACCUGUGAUGUGGAAUAUUUUAAAUAUGAUGUCCAAGGCAACAGUGCAUAAUACUUGAGGAAAAAGCAAUGAAAGGUUAUUGCUGCUGUCAUUUGCCUAGAAUUUAACAGUGAUUGGCUCAAAAAAUUAGACAUAGAUUGAAAUCAUCUGAGAAGAGAACUUCUGAAUAAUUUCAUUCAUUUCGUUAUUUGAUAGAGUGAUCCUUGGGGCAGAAGGAGAACAGGACAGACGGGAGACAACAAUUGAAAGACUUUGGAGACAGAGCUGGUGCUUGCAGAGGCCUGUCACUCCUGUGGUCACUUACAAUUUCCCGCAACAAAAGGACUUCUGUGGCAAGGAGAGGAUUAGUCUAAAGUUUAGAAAAGUCUACAGGGAAGGUGGUUUCUUGGAUAAAGUUGUCAACGAAAGGAGUCUUGCUUAAGACUCUUUGUUAUGAUUUCCUAGGGGGCGCUUCUUCCUUCACUAACUGGAUUGUCAAAACACAUUACCACCCCAUCCCAGCCAGAUUUGGGGAGUUUGGAUUGAGCUGCUGGUUAGAAUUAAAUUUCAGGCUGUCUCCUUCUACUGAAUCCUAAUUGUCUGUGACGACAGCAAAAGUGAUGAGUAAUCUCAGCUCUGACUUGAUGGCAGAGAUACUGAAUAGAUAGAUAAGAGCAAAGAGUUCCAAAGUUGUAAUUCAAGUCCUGUUGCACCAUGAGAUACACAUGCUUGUGUGCACACACAUAAGCCUCAAAUAAAAUGAGAGAUCUGUCUCGGCUAACAUGUGUUUCAUUUUCUACAAUGGGUCCUUCUAAAAGAAGCUGGGGAAACUCAAAUUACUUCAUCUGGGGAUGAUCUACUCAGGAAAUGUAGUAGCCUAGAAACCAGAGACCGCUAUAUAGCCUUUAGAAGAACAAGGAGGACUAAUUAAGAGAGAAUUUAAAAAUAGUACCUAUGCACUCAGAGUCUGAGAUGGAAGGAGGAAAAAUGUACACAGAUGGUCCAAAGAAAUCUACCUUACCGAGUAUUUGAUUUUAGUAAGGCAUUUGACAAAGCCUGUCCAGAUAUACCUGAAAGAUGAAACUGUGUGGGCUGGGUGAUGAGGCAGAUCUAUGUGCUCAAAGAACAGUGGCCUUACUGGAGAAAGGCCAGCAGUGGUGUGGUACAAGUUUCAGCCCUAAGUCCUAUUCUGGUCAAAUGUUUUUAUUAUUAAUCACUUGAAUAAAACUGGAGAAGGCACACAGUUUAUUCGUAUAACUCAUUAAAGUAAGUACUGUUAUUACUCAUUUAUUACUUCCACUUUACAAAAGAGGAAACUGAGGCUCAGAGAAGUUAACUAACUCCUUUGUGGUAGGACAGCAGAGGUAAGGUACACACCUGAGGUCUGGCGGUCUCCAAUGUCUAUGAUCUUUCCAGUAAUCACAUACCUAUCAUAUCUGUAGCAUACACAACUCUUGAAGAGGCAGCUGACAUCUAGCAUUGGAUCAUGAUUCAAAAGCCUGAGAUCUUGCUAAAAGCUAAUGUGUAGCAUUACACACCUAUUAGAAUGGUCAAAUUCCAGAACACUGACAGCACCAAAUGCUGCCAGGGAUGUGGAGCAACAGGAACUCUCAUUGUUGGUGGAAGUGCAAAAGGGUACAGCCACUUUAGAAGACCGCUUGGCAGUCUCUUACAAAACUAAGCAUACUCUUACCAUAGACCCAGCAAUCAUGCUCCUUUGUAUUUACCCAAAGGAGCUGAAAAGUUAUGUCUACACAAAAACCUGCACGCAGAUGUUAAUAGCAGCUUUAUUCAUAAUCGCCAAAACUUUAAAACAACCAAGGUGUCCUUUUGUAGAUAAGUGGAUAAAUAGACUGUGGUACAUCCAGACAAUAGAAUAUUAUUCAACAGUAAAAAGAAAUGGAACGAUCAAGCCAUGAAAAGACAUGGAGGAACCCUAAAUGAAUAUUACUAAGUGAAAGAAGCCGAUCUGAAAGUCACAUACUACGUCAUUACAACUAUUUGACAUUCUGGAAAAGGCAAAACUAUAGAGACAGUAAAAAGAUCGUGGUUGCUAGGGGAAGGAGGGAAUGUUGAAUAGAUGGUGCACACAGGAUUUUCAGGACAGGGUAACUAUGUAUGAUACUAUAAUGGUGGAUACAGAUAUACACCAUUCAUCAAAAAUUUGUCCAAACCCAUGGAAUAUACAACACCAAGAAUGAAUCCUAAUGUAAAACGGACUUUGGAUGAUAAUGAUGAGUCAAUGUGGGUUCAUACAGUGUAACAAACGUAGCACUCUGUGGAGGCCGUUGGU
Globicephala melas (long-finned pilot whale) is the source of this 4769-nucleotide RNA transcript. It is a transcript of the gene named cyclin dependent kinase 15, with no coding region annotated. Lineage: Eukaryota; Metazoa; Chordata; Mammalia; Artiodactyla; Delphinidae. The record is from RefSeq and is a predicted model, not a curated record.